RNAcentral lists this ribosomal RNA (699 nucleotides) under uncultured Alphaproteobacteria bacterium. Its description in RNAcentral is "bacterial SSU rRNA". It matches the Rfam family "Bacterial small subunit ribosomal RNA", at positions 61 to 804 of the family's 1533-position model. Lineage: Bacteria; Pseudomonadati; Pseudomonadota; Alphaproteobacteria. The record is from RNAcentral.
GUCGAGCGGGCGUAGCAAUACGUCAGCGGCAGACGGGUGAGUAACGCGUGGGAACGUACCUUUUGGUUCGGAACAACACAGGGAAACUUGUGCUAAUACCGGAUAAGCCCUUACGGGGAAAGAUUUAUCGCCGAAAGAUCGGCCCGCGUCUGAUUAGCUAGUUGGUGAGGUAACGGCUCACCAAGGCGACGAUCAGUAGCUGGUCUGAGAGGAUGAUCAGCCACAUUGGGACUGAGACACGGCCCAAACUCCUACGGGAGGCAGCAGUGGGGAAUAUUGGACAAUGGGCGCAAGCCUGAUCCAGCCAUGCCGCGUGAGUGAUGAAGGCCCUAGGGUUGUAAAGCUCUUUUGUGCGGGAAGAUAAUGACGGUACCGCAAGAAUAAGCCCCGGCUAACUUCGUGCCAGCAGCCGCGGUAAUACGAAGGGGGCUAGCGUUGCUCGGAAUCACUGGGCGUAAAGGGUGCGUAGGCGGGUCUUUAAGUCAGGGGUGAAAUCCUGGAGCUCAACUCCAGAACUGCCUUUGAUACUGAGGAUCUUGAGUUCGGGAGAGGUGAGUGGAACUGCGAGUGUAGAGGUGAAAUUCGCAGAUAUUCGCAAGAACACCAGUGGCGAAGGCGGCUCACUGGCCCGAUACUGACGCUGAGGCACGAAAGCGUGGGGAGCAAACAGGAUUAGAUACCCUGGUAGUCCACGCCGUA